Acanthochromis polyacanthus (spiny chromis) is the source of this 905-nucleotide long non-coding RNA. RefSeq lists it as uncharacterized. The record is from RefSeq and is a predicted model, not a curated record. Lineage: Eukaryota; Metazoa; Chordata; Actinopteri; Pomacentridae. The transcript has 2 exons.
UUCAAACCACAACAAACCCACAGCAGCGUGUUCCUCUGAAUGUUUUUGCAUAAUUCCUGCUGCUGACCAUUCCUUCCCUCAUCAACACGUUGUUUCCGUGUUCCAUGCAGAACACGCAGCCGUGUCCACUGCAACACGCAUGCGCUGCCCGGCUCUGAUCCUCAUUUGGAAACCAGCAGCGUGAGGAGCAGCGUCCAGCUUCUCCCACUGUCAGGAACGUCGUGGUUCUCCAAGGAGAAGUUCUCUCUGCUGGGAAUCCCCGAGCAACGGAGCUGAGAGAAGCAGCAGAUGUUUUUCCACUUUGAGGACCGGAUUGGACCCUCUGGAGGACCACUUUUGGACCACGGGCCUCAUGUUGGACCCUCUGGUUUAAAGUGUGGUGAACACACACACACGGACACACACAGACACACAUACAGUAACACUUCCAUCUGUUUUCAGGGUUUUUUCUGCCUCUCCACUCGACACCCCCACAGCUUCUUAUCUCUGUGCACGGCUGUUCUACCUCCACCUCACCGACACACAACAACAACACAACACCACACACUGACACACACUAAUAACACACUGACACACACUCCUCUGUGGGCUGAUCCUCCUGCUCUGUGCGUCUCUGAUACGUGAACUUUGUGGGUUUUUUGUUGCUCCACUUUCAGGUUUUUGUGCGUCGCUCUCCUGUUGUUUGUGAAUAAACCGAUUUCAGACUCUGUUGUUGUUUUUAUUUAUGACUUCUGAUCAUAAAGUUCCAUAUUUAUAAUCAAAGAUGCACAUUAAUGAUGAACCUGUUUUGUCAUUUCUGUAUUUUUCUUGUCAUUAUCUGUGAUAAUAAUCUGUCGUUUUUACGUACAUUAAUGUCCCAUUUUCAGAAAAAUGAAGAAUAAAAUAAAAAAUGGUUUUAACUGGAA